AAGUCGUAACAAGGUUUCCGUAGGUGAACCUGCGGAAGGAUCAUUGUCGAAUCCUGCAAACGACCGCGAACAAGUUCAUAAACUGACCGGGCGACGGCGAUAGGGGGCGACCCCGUUCGCACGACCCCGGACCCAACUAAACUCCCGGCGCGGAAAGCGCCAAGGACUACUCAAACGGAUUGCCCGUUUCCCUUGCGGAUUCCGCGAGGGAGGCGUCGGCGUCUGAAACGUAACCAAAACGACUCUCGGCAACGGAUAUCUAGGCUCUC
This 269-nucleotide unclassified non-coding RNA is filed under the name air metagenome. Its description in RNAcentral is "partial contains small subunit ribosomal RNA, internal transcribed spacer 1, and 5.8S ribosomal RNA". The stretch from base 1 to 46 matches the Rfam family "Eukaryotic small subunit ribosomal RNA", at positions 1786 to 1831 of the family's 1831-position model. The record is from RNAcentral.